Molecule: ribosomal RNA, 481 nt
Filed under: uncultured bacterium
Lineage: Bacteria
Description: partial 16S ribosomal RNA
Rfam family: Bacterial small subunit ribosomal RNA
Source: RNAcentral
GACGAACGUUGGCGGCGUGCUUAAUACAUGCAAGUCAACUGAAGCAGUGGUAGCAAUAUCGCUGUGGAGGUGGCGCACGGGUGAGUAACACGUAGGCAAUCUGCCUUCAGGUCUGGCAUAACUCCGGGAAACCGGGGCUAAUAGCAGAUGAUGCAGCGGCUCGACAUCGAGACAGUUGUUAAAGCUAUGGCGCCUGAAGAUGAGCCUGCGUCUGAUUAGCUAGUUGGCGGGGUAACGGCCCACCAAGGCAACGAUCAGUAGCUGGUCUGAGAGGAUGAUCAGCCACACUGGAACUGAGACACGGUCCAGACUCCUACGGGAGGCAGCAGUAAGGAAUAUUGCUCAAUGGGAGAAAUCCUGAAGCAGCAACGCCGCGUGAGGGACGAAGGGCUUUUGCUUGUAAACCUCUGUAGUGAGAGAAAAAAAUCCCAAUCUUUGGGACAUGAUGGUAUCUCAAAAGUAAGCCCCGGCUAACUACGUG